This 271-nucleotide ribosomal RNA is filed under the name uncultured Staphylococcus sp. Its description in RNAcentral is "partial 16S ribosomal RNA". It matches the Rfam family "Bacterial small subunit ribosomal RNA", at positions 102 to 355 of the family's 1533-position model. The record is from RNAcentral. Lineage: Bacteria; Bacillati; Bacillota; Bacilli; Caryophanales; Staphylococcaceae.
ACGGGUGAGUAACACGGUGGGUAACCUACCUAUAAGACGUGGGAAUAACCGUACCCGGGGGAAACCGGGGCUAAUACCGGAUAAUUAUUUUGAACCCGCAUGGUUCGAUAGUGAAAGACGGUUUCGGCUGUCACUUAUAGAUGGACCCGCGCCGUAUUAGCUAGUUGGUAAGGUAACGGCUUACCAAGGCGACGAUACGUAGCCGACCUGAGAGGGUGAUCGGCCACACUGGAACUGAGACACGGUCCAGACUCCUACGGGAGCAGCAGCA